GCUUAGAAGAAAAAGAAUGUUUCAUUAAUGACUGAGCUUCGCAGAAAAAGAAAAAGAAAAAUACCUUUCGCUUAAGACUACCAGAAACUUAAAGGCCUUACGAAGCAGAUGUUGCGCCUAUAACAAUUUAACACGUUACGCAUUAAGAUAAUUUAGGACACAGUUCAAACAUUAGCUGACUUUGCGCAUUCGAUUUUUCGAUGAAGUUUUCUAUUGGGAAUAUCUUCUUUAUGCAUCAAAGAGGACUGGCAAAACUCUUUUAAUAAUCCUGGAUGAAUUAUAUGGAUAUAUUUUUUGAAUGUGUAAAUACUGUAUCCCGCAAGUUACGUAAAUCCCACUUGUGUUACAAGAUGC
Long non-coding RNA from Argiope bruennichi, 354 nucleotides. RefSeq lists it as uncharacterized. The transcript has 3 exons. NCBI's taxonomy places the organism in Eukaryota, Metazoa, Arthropoda, Arachnida, Araneae, Araneidae. The record is from RefSeq and is a predicted model, not a curated record.